Molecule: long non-coding RNA, 8217 nt
Filed under: Lactuca sativa (garden lettuce)
Lineage: Eukaryota; Viridiplantae; Streptophyta; Magnoliopsida; Asterales; Asteraceae
Description: long non-coding RNA (LSAT_LNC010119)
Source: RNAcentral
CUUGGUUUCGGGAGUUUACCGCCCAAGAACACCUUGGGGAGUAAACUCCUAAAUCGAAUGAUUUAGCUAUGUAAUCUAUGUUAUGAACACAUUUAAAGCUUUCUAACACUACUAGAAAGAGUUACUCACAAUUUGGGAUAAAAACCCGAAGAUCCGUGAGAGAGAAUUUUGGCUUUUCUCUAAUUGGAAUUCAACUAAUGAACCAAUUUGGUUCAGAAUUCUAUUUAUAGUCCUGAGAUAUUUUGGCAGAAAAUAUUUUUAUUCCUGAAACGAAUUCUAAUGUCCUAGAGUAUUGGAAUAACAGUGUUGCACAAAACCCUAGUGCAUCCACUCUCCUAAUAUCUCCUUAAGUGUAAAAUCCUGAAAACUGCCAAACUUAUACUCGAAAUCUGAGUUUUCACUGUAACUGUUCUACUUCUAUUGGCUUCAAAUGGUUUGUUCAGAAUGGAAAUUUCGGGUUGUCACAACAUCCCCCUGUUGAAAGGAAUUUCAUCCCGAAAUUAGAAUUUAGGCAAGGAAGUAUGUACGAAUGAUCGAGUCGUGAGGAGGAAACUUCCUAAUCGAUUGGUUCUAGCGCACUUAAGUGAAAUCGGGUUCUCGGUUGGAAUCCCAACGAACCUUCACUAUCGGGCGAUGGCGCUGCUUCGUCCGCUUGACCUCUCGGUCGAGGGUCACUACGGUUCUAAUACGAAGGCGAGGAUCUCGACGAGUGGACUUACAAGAGUCCUAACGGAAAGGUAUGGUUUCACGAUCGAGACGCGAAGAGUAGGAUGUACGUUACUGAGUUCGCGGAGUAGGUCUAGUUUGUGCGAGGCACAGGACCGAUUCUGAUAAGAAUCUCGGAGGUCCUAACUAUAUUGGAUUUAGCUUUCCACGCGAUACGAAGCGUAUUAAGCCAUUCCCAGAGUGAGUUCUCCUAAAGAACUUGGUCACUCACUUGGAAUUCCAAAGGUUCCUUUUCUUGCUUAACUUCCCAGUCAAAGGCCACCCCUUGCUGGGUCAGAGUCGUACGGGUUUCUGUAAUUUGCGAGGAGUUCUGAAUGAACUAUGUCAGUAGGUCGGUAAGACCUAGAAUUUGGCGAAUGGCCUUUGGCGUCUCCGUUGUCGACAAAUGCUCAACAGUUUUGACAAAUUGAAAAAGUACUAAAAACUUCCCACAUUACUAACAGUGUGUCUUAGAAAUUCGACUCUUCAAUUUCAAAAAUCGUGCCUAGAGAACAUCGCUAAAAGUUCCUCUGUAGGAAAUGUUUCCAUGGGUUUUCUUCUUACUACGAGGGUAGAUAAGUAAGUCAUUACAUGGAGAAAUGACGAACUGAUCCAAGUAAGAAAGACGUACCCUACUCGUUUAGCUCAUGAAAGCUAUGGGCGUAUUGGUCCUAUCCGAAGGGUAUCACUACGGACUCGAAGUGUCCGCAUCGAAUUCGGAAGAUAGUCUUCUGGACAUCCUUCCCUAACACCCGAACUGGUGAUAUUCGGAUCAUAGAUCCAUUUCUGAAAGUAAUUCUUUCCUUGCAUUUGCUCAACCAUUUCAUUUAUGCAUGACAGAGAUAACGAUUUCUAAUGAAAAAUCAUGACGGAGUCCUCGAUAUUCGAGGCUCAUACGAUGCAAUCUGUCGAUCUCUGGGAGAAUAAGACUGGGGUUCUCUAGGGUGAGAAGCCUAGUCUUCUAAUUCUAUUUCUGUGUGGUUCGCUAAGUUGUCUGUACUGUUCUUGUGUCUUCGUAUGUGUUUAGACUAUAGGGUGAUCUGUUUACAAGAGUCGUAUUGGGUUCUAAGUUUGUUCACAUGACGAUGCGAUUACUCGUAGUCUUAGGUAGUUCUCCGUCCUGAAGUUCAUAUUAGAAUUCAUACCUGGUUUCACCAUCACAAUUUCGGGUAUACGAGUCGUAUAUAACUAAGAUUGAAAAGAUAGUCGAAUAACUGAUUCUUCUUUAAGCUCACAUCCCAUCGGGGAAAAAGAAGUUAAAGUGGAAUCAUCAAUUCUAAACCUGUAGAACCUUGAUUAUAUAUCACUCUUAUGCAUACAGUCCUCAGUGAUAGAUCAAUUGUAUAAAUCCUUGGAUUGAACUUGACAUACUGCACGAGUGGUACUUCGGGGAUUUCUUCGGAAAGAAAAUAACUAAGAGGUACUCCUGGAAUGAGUACUUCGGUGUUCUGAUAUGAUGGCUUUGCUGGUAAAGUGAUCUAGAAGAAAGAGAUGUACGUAUGAAGCUGUUUUCGUGAGGGUCAAUUUUUUAUCGAGUCGUAUGAUAAUGUCGGAAUCAUACAAAAACUUUAAAGACAUUAGAAUUAACAUAAGACGGUUACAGACAAAACACAACCGUGCAACCAUGAACAGAGUUAUAGUACUUUAGAUUUACCACAAGACUAUUGCUGCGAAUAAGAUAUACUACAAAAGACAAGUAUACGCAGCACAAGAAUCCCUAUACCGAUAGGAUCUCGCAAAAGGUAAGACUCUAGUUGCACUAAUUCUGGAUAGUUUAUAAGUCUGUUACAACAACACGCCUAAGUUACAUUAACGAGGGUUCCGGCGUAGGCUCACUUGCAGUUGUGAUCCUAAGAACCUUCCCAUCAGCACCCGAGUUCUUUGUUAUCGGGAAAUAUUUCGUUAAGUGUCCAAUUUCACCGCAUUGGUGACAUAUCUGGACAGCACCAACAUUGGUGGUAGAAGUGAAGUGUCGAGUGGGAUUUAUGGGGAUGCGGGUUCUUUCCUUGAUUUCCUUCUUUGGGCAAUCUCUUUUAUAGUGCCCAAACUCACCACAAUUAUAGCAAACUAGGCUUGCUCCAGUGGUGGAGGUAGUUCUACAGAAACAAGCAAUGUGCCCCAUCUUGUUGCAAUUUUCGCAUUGCAAGGCUCGACAAAUUCCCUAGUGGUGGUAGUUGCAUCGAUCGCACUUCGGGAGUGUUCCUUUGUAUGGUCUGCUUGGUACGGGGAUGGCAGAGGUUUCCACUUGCUGUUGUUGCAUGGCAAGUUUUCGGGGUUUCUUGCGUUCUUUCUGAGCUUGACGCUUCCGUUUCUUGUUCUUUGAUUUUCGGCUUUGCGGGCCUGAGGCCGUUACCGUUUGAUGACUUCCUGGAUGGAUACCACUAUUGGAAACUUCAUUCCCAUCAACAGCAUUGACUGUGCUGAUAGCGCUACGGUGCGCAAGGACCGCGGUUACGGCAGCCACCACGGCANNNNNNNNNNNNNNNNNNNNNNNNNNNNNNNNNNNNNNNGAUUUGUGAGCGAUUCUGGUUGACCCUAGAUGUACUUCGAUUGCUCAAGAAAAGAGUAAGAGUAUGUUCUCGAAAGUUUGACCUACAUCCCUAUGAUGCAGUCCUAGCACGGAAUGGAAGUGAGUUCGCGAAGGUUUGACCGACAUCCCUAUGAUGCAGUCCUAGUAAUAGGUAGAAGUAAGUUCGUAGGAUGGUCUCAAGACGUUUGUCGUUCAAGCCGAGGUACCGUGGAUUGGUGAAUAACAAGAUCCAACCACUAAAAAAGACUUGGAAAUGUCUCCGGAGCUAAAUUACUAUAGUCUAAUGACUUGACUAAAGCAUGAUUCAGAUAGACUCAAAUGAAAGUAUGAUAAAAGUACUUGAAUGAAGAAUGACACAGAAGUUAGCCGGCUGUCAAUAUCUUUGAUAUUCACGAUGUAAAGAUUCGGGAAAAUGACCUUGUAAAGGUCUUACAUCAUAUCCACAGAAGAUAGUUCCUGACAGCAUAAGGACCUAACUAAAAGUACUUACAGUACAAGAUAAUUUCAUAGAAAAUGCCACAUCAGGCAAAGACAGAAAACGAUUACUUUCUAACAAGGGAAGUAAGGUAAAGCAUCUACUCCUGGCGACGGUCAUCCCUCUGGUGAACUCUCGGUUAAGCCAGUCGACGUUCCUCAUCAAGUAGGUGUCUGUUGUACACCCUAUGGCAUACUCGAAGUUCUAUGACUUCGGCUCGUGAUUCAGCCAGUGCUUGCAGCAGGGUUUCAUGGUUUCUCUCUUCUCUCACGCGAGCAUCUUCUAGACUAAUGGUGCGGAGGGUAUGUAUUCUCGUAUCAGUGACAUCUUCGGAAAUCUGGUGUAGGGCUAUCCUGCCUUGAAUCUCAUUUCGGGUCACUCUGCAGACCAAGAUUGGCAACACUCUAUCUGCUGAGCCCUCAUUGCUCAAGUCGUUAAAGCUUCGGUUACCAUUAAAUGGCAUGGGUUGAUCUUGUCCUUGGCUUCAUGUUUCCAAGCAUUCCACCCACUCAGGCGUCGGGCCAUGAAAAGUCGGACGAGGGUUAGGAAUUGGAAAGGGAGCUGCUUAGGGUAGGUUCUCAACCUCUGGUUCGGAGUUAGCAUCAUCCGAAAGGUUUUCAUCAUGGUGAUCAUUCAAGGGGAUAGGAUGAUCAUUCUCUGGUUCUUCUCCAAACCAACCAGCUAUGACUUCGUUCGGAAGAUACUGGUUGCCGAGGGGAUGGAGUCCAGCUAUGUUUUCUAUGCGAGAAUUUAGGGUAAGAGAAUAAUUAUUAGACGAACUAUCUAGAUAAUUAUUUAGAAAACCUUCAUUAGUUACAUCGCUAUUUGUGAAGUGCAUACCAGCUAUGUAUAAUCUAAACAGGAUAGGCCUUCGAAUAAGUGACAUUAACUCCGUAUUCACACAGAAUAGGGUGAAGUAAAAUUUCCAUAGAUUCUAAGUCUAUAACAUCCUAAUUACAUAUAGCAUUAGUGUAUCCACUUAGAAACUAUGAACUUAGUAAUGAAGAUCCCAUUUUAGUUCUCAACUAUACAGUACUUAUAGUAACAGCAAAUACUCCUAUAGUAUUUUAAAUUUAAUGUUAUGUUCUAUUGUUCUCAUUAUGGUAGGAUUGGUAAGAUUUUAGCAUUGUUGCAACCACACAAUUAAACUUAGGCACAUGCUAGUCAACCCUCGGAUAAUAUAGGUGAUCAGGCUAUAUCUUCCCAUUUUUGACCAUAUGUCUCUAAUCCCACCUGUGUUGCCCAACAAUUGUAAUUCUUUUGUACUGUCCUAGUGACACUGAUUUUAGUAUGAAUGCAGGCACGUAUACUUACUUAAAUAUUUUAUUAUUUAAAGUAUAAACUCUUGGUCAGAGUAUUUUUAAUCCCUUAUGUAUUUAUAGUUAGUAUAUCUUUUAUGGGUUGAUAUACUUAAUUCACUAUAAACAAUGCUCUGAUACCAAUCUGUCACACCCCAAAACCAAGAACGGCGGAAACGUUCUGGGGCGGAGGACGUCAUGUACAGUAUCACAACAAUGAAAAGUAGUAAACAAGCAACAACAUCAUCCAUUGCAUUAAUAAUAUAAUUAUUAUACAAGUGUGUUCUGUCAAAUUUUGAUAAACACUAAAGCAUAAAUCAAAAUGAAAGAUGAGACUUCAACGAGCUCCAUCUUCCCUAAUCCUUGCGUCGGUACCUGUCUAAGAUGACCUGAGGAUACAAGAAAUUUUGAAAGCGAGUAUCAGCUUUGAAGCUGGUGAGAUCAUAAGUAUCUUAGUGUCUCAAUUUGUAUGUAAGUAUUUGUAUGUAAGAAUUUGUAUAUGAACUGUAAGUAUUGAAAAUGGUAUGAAAAUGUUUUUAAAACAACUGUAAACGUUUGAAAAACCCUAGAAAUCUCUAUGAUUCCUACUAUUAUAACAGGGAAUCUUCUACCAAGACUUAACUGAUCUCUAUGUAGCCUUCUACCAAGGCAUCUAGUGUCUGUGUGUGUCUCUGGUAAGAGUGUGUAUUUUCCCAAAUCUGACUACCAUUAAUCAAAAAGAUAGUUUCUACAUUACCGUGCGUCGCAUGAAAAUUCACGAAGUGAAUGUAAUGGGAAAAGAAAUAGUACUAUGGUGUAGUAUCGAACUACAACCGUACCUAUUACCUUAAAUCUAGGGUAAACCUACCAAGUACCACAGUAUUUGGAUAUAUAUUUAGGUAUAUAUAUCAAUACACCGAUACUCAACUUGCCUUAUUUGAUGGAUAAGGUAUAAUGUGAUGUCUAGAUCCCAGACUGUUUCGCUCCCCUAUCAGAGGGAUUUUAGGACCCACACACGACCCCUGCAUGAAUGCAAGCCGUGAGCACCACAUUACCUGCGAUCAUGUAUACUCGAUAUAACCAUCACAUUCGUAGUGUGAUUUAUCAGUAUAGUUAGAUCCUAAACUGGUUCUGAGCUAUAGCCCCUAAUGACGUCUAUCCUAUGUAUAUGAAAGCGUACUCAUGUAAGUGUGAUCACGUAAUUGUACUUAUGGUGUACUGAAGUGUUCUACGUGUGCUAGCUGUAAUGUGUGAUCUCUUUAGCUAGCAUGUAUUGUCAUGUAAGUGUUCUAGUAUAAUUGUAUAUGUUCUCGUCCUAAUAUAGAUGUAUAUGUAUUUCACAGCAACAUUCUAGAAAGUAUUGACUCAUGAAUGAACUGACUCGUUGUAUGAUAUCGUGUUCUAGUAAUAGUUCUAGUAUCUUCCUGAACUACCCAUAUGGUAGCUUACUAGUGAUCUAAGUGGUACGUAUGGACAUGGAUGUAUACCCUUGCUACCCAAGGGCAUAGGAUGAAUUGGAAGGACCUUUUAUGACUUUAUGUGUACACAUGAUAUAUAACUAAUAUUUAAACGACCUUCGGACGAGUACCCGAUAUCCCACCAGACCACAUCUCAAGCGCGAAAAGGAAAUAGGGUGGAUAGCCUUCCUAAGUCUUUUAAACAUUUCUUAUAUAACUAUACAUAUAGAGGCAUGCAAUUUAUAAUUUAAAAGCAUAAAAUAAGAUUUGUAAAACCUUUGAACAUAAAUAUUUUCUAAGAAAAGACCGACUUGAUGUCGAUCUAUAAAAUGGUUUUGAAGGCAUGGGUUUGAUAAAACAGUUUAGUAUAAAGAACAUUUGUUUGAAACACAAUUGUAAAUAAGUUUGAAAUGUAAUAUACAGAAUAAAAUGUACAGUGUAAUAAGGAGUUUUUAAACACAUAAAGUGUUUAUGAAAAACAUUUGAAGGAAACUGUUUGGUAAAACGGCUAAUGAGUAGCCAAUCAUUUGAAUGCUGCUUAUUAAUCACAUGUGAUUGAUAUAAUAAUUAGCAUAAUUCUACUUGUAUCCCCCCCAUAAAACAUUUAAAAACAGUUUAAAACAUUGAUUAAGGGGUAUGAACUCACCUGCAGUAAGUGACUGGAAUUGAACGGACUGUUAUCGUAAGGAAGGAUCGGACAAGUGCUUGGUGUCAAGUGAAGACUUUAGACACACACAAUGAUACUAAUUACAUAUGAAGACAUAUGUAUAUAAAUAAUUAGUGAUUAAAACACUAAUUAUACAAGUAUAAACAUUUUAACGCGAGGAAAACACUUUUGGUCAAGUGCUAGGAGGCUAAUGGGUUGCAACAAAGGAGUGUAACACCUCAAAUGGGAGUUUAAGGACUAAUGACCAUAUUCUUUGGAGUUUACGGCCCAGGGGAGUAAACUCUUGGCCGUAAACUCUACAUUGGGUCAUUAAUUGAGACUUAAAGUUGUUACAACUCAAGUGGUAAAUUGUUCAAAGGUUAAAUCAAGUGUUUGGGCUUCCUAUUAACUCCUUUAAGGAGUUUACGGCCCAGAGACCAUAUUCCCUUGGAGUUUACGGCCGUAAACUCCCUUGGGAGGGUGUUUAUGGUGUUUUCAAGUCUCUAACAUUUCAAGGUUAUGAUCUAUGUUGGGUUCUAGGCAUAAGGAAGGAGUUAGGGUGUCAUUUGACCCCUUUAUAGGGGUUUACGGCCCAAGAACUUGUCUUGGCCGUAAACUCCUCAAUACUUGUGAUUCCUUAUGUUUUUUAGGCUUUAAACACUUUAGGGUACAUGUCUAAAUUCAAGUCUAAGCCUUAGGUGCCUUAAAAGCACCAUUUGAGCUUGUUAUUUGGAGUUUACGGCCUAAGCUACUCUUGGGCCGUGAACUCCCAAACUUGGGUGAUUCUUGUUUGAUUUUAUGCCUCUAAUACACUCCUAUACAAGUCCAAGGUAGUAGUAUAUCACGGGGGACGAUCUAGGCUUGGUUUCAGGAGUUUUGCCGCCCAAGAACACCUUGGGGAGUAAACUCCUAAAUCGAAUGAUUUAGCUAUGUAAUCUAUGUUAUGAACACAUUUAAAGGUUUCUAACACUACUACAAAGAGUUACUCACAAUUUGGGAUAAAAACCCGAAGAUACAUGAGAGAGAAUUUUGGGUUUUCUCUAAUUGGAAUUCAACUAAUGAACCAAUUUGGUUCAGAAUUCUAUUUAUAGUCCUGAGAUAUUUUGGUAGAAAAUAUUUUUAUUCCU